This 72-nucleotide transfer RNA is filed under the name Ascocoryne sarcoides NRRL 50072. RNAcentral describes it as "tRNA-Pro (TGG) (tRNA-Pro-TGG-1-1)". It matches the Rfam family "tRNA". From Rfam's summary of the family: Transfer RNA (tRNA) molecules are approximately 80 nucleotides in length. Their secondary structure includes four short double-helical elements and three loops (D, anti-codon, and T loops). The record is from RNAcentral. Lineage: Eukaryota; Fungi; Ascomycota; Leotiomycetes; Helotiales; Gelatinodiscaceae.
GGCCCAAUGGUCUAGUGGUAUGAUUCUCGCUUUGGGUGCGAGAGGCCCCGCGUUCGAAUCGCGGUUGGGCCC